CACGUAGGGGGCGAGCGUUAUCCGGAUUCAUUGGGCGUAAAGCGCGCGCAGGCGGCCGCCUAAGCGGGACCUCUAAUCCUGGGGCUCAACCUCAGGCCGGGUCCCGAACUGGGCGGCUCGGGUGCGGUAGGGGUAGGCGGAAUUCCCGGUGUAGCGGUGGAAUGCGCAGAUAUCGGGAAGAACACCGACGGCGAAGGCAGCCUACUGGGCCGCCACCGACGCUGAGGCGCGAAAGCUAGGGGAGCGAACAGG
This 252-nucleotide ribosomal RNA is filed under the name uncultured bacterium. Its description in RNAcentral is "partial 16S ribosomal RNA". It matches the Rfam family "Bacterial small subunit ribosomal RNA", at positions 524 to 776 of the family's 1533-position model. The record is from RNAcentral.